UAUUUCUACUUAAGUUGCUUGUAUGUUUAGUAUUGACUAAUAUCUUGUUUAGUUUGACAAUGUAAUGUGAGUGAUAAUUGUACUUGUUGUAAUGCAAGUGAAUAGAGAUGUGUAAGCUUUAUUUCUACAUACAUUUUAUAGAGUAAUGGAAGCAUUAAAAAAUCUGUUCUACAAAGUAUCCAAAGUCAAUAUUGUUCCAUACAAACAUAAUAUCCAAAGUCAAUGUUGUUCCAUACAAAUAUAGUAUCCACUGUCAAUGUUGUUCUAUACAAACAUAGUAUCCACAGUCAAUAUUGUUCCAUACAAACAUAGUAUCCACAGUCAAACCAAUACAAAGUCAAAAUGAUCCACAAAAGUAGAACCAAAUACAACACAUAUCUAUUCAAACCAAAACAACUGCUAUUCAAGUUUCAAACCAAUACAAACUCAAAACUAUUGCAUCAAGUUUCAUAUCUAUUCAAACCAAAAUAUUGCAUACAAAUCAUCCAAG
RNAcentral lists this long non-coding RNA (490 nucleotides) under Ananas comosus (pineapple). RNAcentral describes it as "long non-coding RNA (ACOM_LNC001914)". Lineage: Eukaryota; Viridiplantae; Streptophyta; Magnoliopsida; Poales; Bromeliaceae. The record is from RNAcentral.